UAACACAUGCAAGUCGAACGGAGCUUAAAGAGCUUGCUUUUUAAGCUUAGUGGCGAACGGGUGAGUAACGCGUGAGUAACCUGCCUUGUACAGGGGGAUAACACUUGGAAACAGGUGCUAAUACCGCAUAAGACCACGAGAUCACAUGGUUCUGGGGUAAAAGAAUUAUCGGUUUGGGGUGGGCUCGCGUCCGAUUAGGUAGUUGGUGAGGUAACGGCCCACCAAGCCGACGAUCGGUAGCCGACCUGAGAGGGUGAUCGGCCACAUUGGGACUGAGACACGGCCCAAACUCC
RNAcentral lists this ribosomal RNA (293 nucleotides) under uncultured Eubacteriales bacterium. RNAcentral describes it as "uncultured Clostridiales bacterium partial 16S ribosomal RNA". It matches the Rfam family "Bacterial small subunit ribosomal RNA", at positions 49 to 339 of the family's 1533-position model. The record is from RNAcentral. Lineage: Bacteria; Bacillati; Bacillota; Clostridia; Eubacteriales.